Molecule: ribosomal RNA, 490 nt
Filed under: uncultured bacterium
Lineage: Bacteria
Description: partial 16S ribosomal RNA
Rfam family: Bacterial small subunit ribosomal RNA
Source: RNAcentral
AUUGAACGCUGGCGGCAGGCCUAACACAUGCAAGUCGAACGGUAACAGGAAGCAGCUUGCUGCUUUGCUGACGAGUGGCGGACGGGUGAGUAAUGUCUGGGAAACUGCCUGAUGGAGGGGGAUAACUACUGGAAACGGUAGCUAAUACCGCAUAACGUCGCAAGACCAAAGAGGGGGACCUUCGGGCCUCUUGCCAUCGGAUGUGCCCAGAUGGGAUUAGCUAGUAGGUGGGGUAACGGCUCACCUAGGCGACGAUCCCUAGCUGGUCUGAGAGGAAGACCAGCCACACUGGAACUGAGACACGGUCCAGACUCCUACGGGAGGCAGCAGUGGGGAAUAUUGCACAAUGGGCGCAAGCCUGAUGCAGCCAUGCCGCGUGUAUGAAGAAGGCCUUCGGGUUGUAAAGUACUUUCAGCGGGGAGGAAGGGAGUAAAGUUAAUACCUUUGCUCAUUGACGUUACCCGCAGAAGAAGCACCGGCUAACUCCGUG